Molecule: ribosomal RNA, 522 nt
Filed under: uncultured bacterium
Lineage: Bacteria
Description: bacterial SSU rRNA
Rfam family: Bacterial small subunit ribosomal RNA
Source: RNAcentral
AAUAGAUACCCCGGUAGUCCACGCCGUAAACGUUGGGCGCUAGGUGUGGGGGCCAUUCCACGGUCUCUGUGCCGCAGCUAACGCAUUAAGCGCCCCGCCUGGGGAGUACGGCCGCAAGGCUAAAACUCAAAGGAAUUGACGGGGGCCCGCACAAGCGGCGGAGCAUGUGGAUUAAUUCGAUGCAACGCGAAGAACCUUACCUGGGUUUGACAUGCACCAGACAUCCCUAGAGAUAGGGCUUCCCUUGUGGUUGGUGUGCAGGUGGUGCAUGGUUGUCGUCAGCUCGUGUCGUGAGAUGUUGGGUUAAGUCCCGCAACGAGCGCAACCCUUGUUCCAUGUUGCCAGCACGUAGUGGUGGGGACUCAUGGGAGACUGCCGGGGUCAACUCGGAGGAAGGUGGGGAUGACGUCAAAUCAUCAUGCCCCGUUAUGUCCAGGGCUUCACACAUGCUACAAUGGCCAGUACAGAGGGCUGCGAGACCGUGAGGUGGAGCGAAUCUCUUAAAGCUGGUCUCAGUUCGGU